GCCUUCGUGGAGUAGUGGUCAGCACACUGGACGUAUAUUUCAAAAGUUCCGUGGUUCGAGUCCCGGCGAGGGCA
RNAcentral lists this transfer RNA (74 nucleotides) under Stegodyphus mimosarum. It matches the Rfam family "tRNA". From Rfam's summary of the family: Transfer RNA (tRNA) molecules are approximately 80 nucleotides in length. The record is from Rfam by way of RNAcentral. Lineage: Eukaryota; Metazoa; Arthropoda; Arachnida; Araneae; Eresidae.